This 1678-nucleotide unclassified non-coding RNA is filed under the name uncultured fungus. RNAcentral's name for it is "sequence contains 18S rRNA gene, ITS1, 5.8S rRNA gene, ITS2, 28S rRNA gene". The stretch from base 691 to 1678 matches the Rfam family "Eukaryotic large subunit ribosomal RNA", at positions 1 to 961 of the family's 3401-position model. The record is from RNAcentral. Lineage: Eukaryota; Fungi.
GGAAGGAUCAUUAUCGAAAAGCAAUCCGGGGGGGAGGCGACCGAGCGAAGUUUGGUAGAUCGUAGGGAUUGUCGCUGGCCUUUGGAAACGAAGGCAUGUGCACGUUCCGAGUUCUCCUUAGUCCUCCUUUGCCUUUCCUUUGGAAAACCCUUUCUUCACACCCGUGCACCCAUUGUAGGUCUCCGCGAGGGGAUCUAUGUCUUCACAUAAACACUACGUAUGUCUAGGAAUGUAUCUAAAAGCGUCGGACGGCUUGGCUUCGUGCCCGGUCUGCGACGGUAAAGAACCAUAAUACAACUUUCAGCAACGGAUCUCUUGGCUCUCGCAUCGAUGAAGAACGCAGCGAAUUGCGAUAAGUAAUGUGAAUUGCAGAUUUUCAGUGAAUCAUCGAAUCUUUGAACGCACCUUGCGCUCCUUGGUAUUCCGAGGAGCAUGCCUGUUUGAGUGUCAUUUAAUUCUCAACCAUCCCUCGAUUCGUUUCGAGGGUUUUGGCUUGGAUUUUGGGGGGCUGCCGGGCGACCCUAGGGUCUUCGGCUCUCCUUAAAAGCAUUAGCGAUGGCGGCGCGAUCUAACCCCCCCAUGCAUGAACGGCCUUCGACGUGAUAAUGAUCGUCGUGGCUGGAGUGUUUAGUGGGUGUCGUGAAGUCGCGCUUCUAAAGACCUUUGUCGAAAGACGAAAACUCGAAAACUUGACCUCAAAUCAGGUAGGACUACCCGCUGAACUUAAGCAUAUCAAUAAGCGGAGGAAAAGAAACUAACAAGGAUUCCCCUAGUAACUGCGAGUGAAGCGGGAUGAGCUCAAAUUUUGAAUCUGGCGGUCUUCAGGCCGUCCGAGUUGUAAUCUAGAGAAGCGUCUUCCGCGCUGGACCGUGUACAAGUCUCCUGGAAGGGAGCGUCGUAGAGGGUGAGAAUCCCGUCUUUGACACGGACCGCCAGUGCUAUGUGAUGCGCUCUCGACGAGUCGAGUUGUUUGGGAAUGCAGCUCAAAUCGGGUGGUAAACUCCAUCUAAAGCUAAAUAUUGGCGAGAGACCGAUAGCGAACAAGUACCGUGAGGGAAAGAUGAAAAGAACUUUGGAAAGAGAGUUAAACAGUACGUGAAAUUGCUGAAAGGGAAACGCUUGAGGUCAGUCGCGUCGGACGGGGAUCAACCUUGCUUCUCGCUCGGUGUACUUCCUGCUCGACGGGUCAGCAUCAGUUUCGGUCGCCGUACAAGGGUCGAGGGAAUGUGGCACUCCUCGGAGUGUGUUAUAGCCUUCGGUCGCAUGCGGUGGUUGGGACUGAGGAACUCAGCACGACCCCCUCGAGGGUUCGGGGCCACGGCCUACGUUAACGUGCUUAGGAUGCUGGCAUAAUGGCCUUAAGCGACCCGUCUUGAAACACGGACCAAGGAGUCUAACAUGCCUGCGAGUGUUUGGGUGCAAAACUCGAGCGCGCAACGAAAGUGAAAGUCGAGACCUCUGUCGUGGAGGGCACCGACGCCCGGACCUGAGUCUUUGACGACGGAUCUGCGGUAGAGCAUGUAUGUUGGGACCCGAAAGAUGGUGAACUAUGCCUGAAUAGGGUGAAGCCAGAGGAAACUCUGGUGGAGGCUCGUAGCGAUUCUGACGUGCAAAUCGAUCGUCGAAUUUGGGUAUAGGGGCGAAAGACUAAUCGAACCAUCUAGUAGCUGGUUCCUGC